This 473-nucleotide long non-coding RNA is filed under the name Medicago truncatula (barrel medic). RNAcentral's name for it is "long non-coding RNA (MTRU_LNC006915)". The record is from RNAcentral. Lineage: Eukaryota; Viridiplantae; Streptophyta; Magnoliopsida; Fabales; Fabaceae.
AAAUUGUCAUGCAGGUGAAGAGGUUGAAGUGGAAGUUUUGAGGAAAUCAUAUUAUACUUGUUGAUUGACUGUAAGUUGAGGUUUAUUGGGUUUUUUAUAAUCGACUAUUUGGUACAUCUUUUGGAAAUUCUGUUUUCGUGUUUAGAACAUGCAUGUCUCGAGAUAAAAUUUGGGAUGCUCAACCUGUUUCUGAUGUAAAUGUUUUGUAGUGGUGUUUCUCUCAGAGGUUUUUUGAGACUAAAUUGCAGCAACAAGGUGUCGGUUUCUCACAUGUUUUGUACGCUUGGAAGAAUGAAUUGAGUACUAACUUAAUUGUUAAUGAGUUGUGAAGUUGUGAUUGAUUUAUCAAGGAUGUAAUUGAAUUACACUUUAUUAAAGACAAGAACUUUUGUUUGUAUUGUUUCAUCCAUUAUAUUUAUACCUUUAAUUUGUUUGUGCAUUUGAACAAAUGAUAGAAUUUUUCUCUCCCAAAU